Rattus norvegicus (Norway rat) is the source of this 1016-nucleotide non-coding RNA. NCBI's taxonomy places the organism in Eukaryota, Metazoa, Chordata, Mammalia, Rodentia, Muridae. The record is from RefSeq and is a predicted model, not a curated record.
ACUAUUCAGAUACAUCUCAACAAGGGAAGAUGGGCUGGGGCAGGAGUCUCUGCUAGAGGGGAAGAAUGCUGUCCCGUUUGAGGAAGCAGCCGUUGCCUAGCCUCAGCCCCUGGGAGGCAGACUCUGUGAUGGUAGCUUUUCCAGGUGUCUCAAGAGAAGCCAGGAGCAUGUCUUUUAAGAUGUCUGUUACAAUGAAUCACGCAGACUGGGAACUGUUACAAUGUACUCUCCUUGGCAAGGAACACACUGCUUCCACCAUCUCGUCCCACAAAGUAUCAAGAUGGAGUGAUUAGUAAGAGUAAAGGAACACUGUUAGCAAGAGCCUGUGGGAGCUGGCCUUCGACUGCUGUGACUCCUCUGUGACAGAUUUCUGUGAUGAGCCUCCCAAGUCAUUGUUGUGGUGGGAGUUUAGUAUGUUGGUGCACCCUGUGGAAACCUUGAGACAAGAAUUCCACCAACUUUGGCUGUGUCCCCUCGUGACGUCAUCAGUGUUGGGGAGAAUUCCUCAACAAUUACGUAAGUGGAUAACGUCUGAAGCCUCCAUCUGAGAUUCUGUCACGCUACCUCUUUUAUUUUUUCCCCCAUCAAUCUGUGCACCUGUCUUUUCCCCUUCCAGUCGGUUUGUCCACAAUCUGCACUUGGAACUCGAAGCUGACACUUUGUAAAAACAUUGUCUUUUCAUCACUGGGCAGCAAGAACCCCACAGCAGCGGGUGUGUGUGUGUGUGUGUGUGUCUCAGCAGCCAAGAGUCCAUGCGGUGUGCCUGGAGGUGGUGGUGCUCACCUUUAAUUGCAAGGAGCACUUGUGAGCCAGAGGCAGGAGGAUUUCUGAGCUCUAGGCCAGCCUGGUCUACAGAGCAAGUUCUAAGACAGCCAGGGCUACACAGCUUCCAGGGACUAAGCCACUACCUAAAGACUAUACAUGGACUGACCCUGGACUCUGACCUCAUAGGUAGUAAUGAAUAUCCUAGUAAGAGCACCAGUGGAAGGGGAAGCCCUGGGUCCUGCCAAGACUGA